Molecule: ribosomal RNA, 429 nt
Filed under: Bacteroidota bacterium
Lineage: Bacteria; Pseudomonadati; Bacteroidota
Description: Bacteroidetes bacterium partial 16S ribosomal RNA
Rfam family: Bacterial small subunit ribosomal RNA
Source: RNAcentral
UAGGGAAUCUUCGGCAAUGGGGGGAACCCUGACCGAGCAACGCCGCGUGAAUGAAGAAGGGUUUCGGAGCGGAAAGCGCUGUUGGUAAGGAAGAACGAGUGUGAGAAUGGAAAGUUCAUACUGUGACGGUACUUAACCAGAAAGGGAGGGCUAACUACGUGCCAGCAGCCGCGGUAAUACGUAGGUCCCGAGCGGUGUCCGGAUUUAUUGGGCGUAAAGCGAGCGCAGGCGGUUAGAUAAGUCUGAAGUUAAAGGCAGUGGCUCAACCAUUGUAGGCUUUGGAAACUGUUUAACUUGAGUGCAGAAGGGGAGAGUGGAAUUCCAUGUGUAGCGUUGAAAUGCGUAGCUAUAUGGAGGAACACCGGUGGCGAAAGCGGCUCUCUGGUCUGUAACUGACGCUGAGGCUCGAAAGCGUGGGGAGCGAACAGG